GUGUAAUGUUGCUGUGGUAGCGAGUCAGCUGUGGGCUACAACUUGAGCCACGUUUUGCGAUGAUUGUUCACAUUUUUGAAAGAUUGGCACCCUAUAAAGUAUGCCGAAUUAGUUAUUAGUAGUUCAUUAUUGCAUGUAGCCAUGGAUUUACGGACAAGCAACACUGGGAUACUUUUUCUUUCAACUUAAAAACGUGAUGAUUUUAAUGCAAGUUCGAGAGUUUUAAGGAUCGUCUUUUCCCCCUGUGAUAUCUUUGCGGAUUUACGGACGUUUAAUUGCGAUGGACAUGGAAGAUAAUGCUAUUCUGAGGAAGAGAGGAAAACAAAAGGCAGGAUGGAGGAGUGGAGGAAUCCUCAGCAGGGAGGUGAAGGAAAGGGCAGGUCGCCCCCUCGCCGGCCGGCAGACUGAAAUACCACAGCUUGCCCGGGGCUCGUCACCGUCUCUGAUGCUGCCAGGGACUUUCUGACAAGUCAGGGGUACGAGAUGGAUUGGCUGAUGAUGAGUCAGCGGCGUGACUCCGAGCAGAUCACAAGGACCACAAGAGCCCAGAGGUGGACGACCAGCUGACCCAGGAGCUGCAGCACAAGGCGAUGAGUGCAGAGUUUCCGGACCACAACGGAGAAGUUCCUUCACUCCAUUCAUGCCUUCUUCUCUUCGUACUCACUGUAUAGUCACAGUAUUGUAUGUCAUGAAAUAAUUUAAUAAAAAAGUAAGUAGGCUAAUAGUACGUAUUAUGUCAAAAAAAAGCUCAGAAAAGUCAUACAUAAUGUCAAAAAGUGUUAUUACAUAGUUAUUACAUUGUUAUAAGAUGUAUUAUGACAAAAAUCUAUCAAAAAGUCACAAAAAGUGUUAUUACAUAGUUAUUACAUUGUUAUAACAUGUAUUAUGACAAAAAUCUAUCAAAAAGUUAAAAAAAAUGUCAAAAAGUGUUAUUACACAGUUGUACACAGUACAUGCCAUAAAAGUGGGUGUAAAUUAUUUUUUCGUCCAUGAAAAAAAAUUCAAAAAAAAAAAAUCACUUUUUUUCUUAAAUUAGGAUGUUCUCUUCCUUUGUCCUACUCUGGUCUCUCCCUUUCUCUGAGGUGUCCUACUCUGGUCUCUCCCUUUCUCUGAGGUGUCCUACUCUUCUCUGAGUUGUCCUACUCUGGUCUCUCCCUUUCUCUGAGGUGUCCUACUCUGGUCUCUCCCUUUCUCUGAGGUGUCCUACUCUUCUCUGAGUUGUCCUACUCUGGUCUCUCCCUUUCUCUGAGUUGUCCUACUCUGGUCUCUCCCUUUCUCUGAGUUGUCCUACUCUUCUCUGAGUUUUCCUACUCUGGUCUCUCCCUUUCUCUGAGUUGUCCUACUCUGGUCUCUCCCUUUCUCGGACGUGUCCUACUCUGGUCUCUCCCUUUCUCGGACGUGUCCUACUCUGGUCUCUCCCUUUCUCGGACGUGUCCUACUCUUCUCUGAGGUGUCCUACUCUGGUCUCUCCCUUUCUCUGAGGUGUCCUACUCUGGUCUCUCCCUUUCUCUGAGUUGUCCUACUCUGGUCUCUCCCUUUCUCGGAGGUGUCCUACUCUUGUCUCUCCCUUUCUCUGCGGUGUCCUACUCUUCUCUGAGUUGUCCUACUCUGGUCUCUCCCUUUCUCUGAGUUUUCCUACUCUGGUCUCUGCCUGUCCUUGUCUUAAUACUCUCCUACUCUCUCCUUGCCUGCACUUCCUUUCCUAGCCUCUCUUUCCUAUCUGGGGGGCCUAUCUAAGUGCACAUACGCUGAUACCGAGCUGGUCUUGAACCCGUCAC
Perca fluviatilis (European perch) is the source of this 1778-nucleotide long non-coding RNA. RefSeq lists it as uncharacterized. The record is from RefSeq and is a predicted model, not a curated record. Lineage: Eukaryota; Metazoa; Chordata; Actinopteri; Perciformes; Percidae. The transcript is spliced from 5 exons.